GAACGGGUGAGUCAUGCAUCGGAACGUGCCCAUGUCGUGGGGGAUAACGUAUCGAAAGGUACGCUAAUACCGCAUACGCCCUGAGGGGGAAAGCGGGGGAUUCUUCGGAACCUCUCGCGAUUGGAGCGGCCGAUGUCGGAUUAUCUACUAGGUGAGGUAAAGGCUCACCUACGCGACGAUCCGUAUCGGGUCUGAGAGGAUGAUCCGCCACACUGGGACUGAGACACGGCCCAGACUCCUACGGGAGGCAGCAGUGGGGAAUUUUGGACAAUGGGCGCAAGCCUGAUCCAGCCAUGCCGCGUGAGUGAAGAAGGCCUUCGGGUUGUAAAGCUCUUUCGGCCGGGAAGAAAUCGUGUUCUCUAACAUAGGACAUGGAUGACGGUACCGGACUAAGAAGCACCGGCUAACUACGUGCCAGCAGCCGCGGUAAUACGUAGGGUGCGAGCGUUAAUCGGAAUUACUGGGCGUAAAGCGUGCGCAGGCGGUUUUGUAAGACAGAUGUGAAAUCCCCGGGCUUAACCUGGGAACUGCGUUUGUGACUGCAAGGCUAGAGUACGGCAGAAGGGGGUGGAAUUCCUGGUGUAGCAGUGAA
This 592-nucleotide ribosomal RNA is filed under the name bacterium D11. RNAcentral's name for it is "bacterial SSU rRNA". It matches the Rfam family "Bacterial small subunit ribosomal RNA", at positions 100 to 685 of the family's 1533-position model. The record is from RNAcentral.